CCUACGGGUGGCUGCAGUGGGGAAUUUUGCGCAAUGGGCGAAAGCCUGACGCAGCAACGCCGCGUGGGUGAUGAAGGUCUUCGGAUCGUAAAACCCUGUCGUCAGGGACGAAGGUUGCAUGUCGAAUAGAUGUGCAGCUUGACGGUACCUGGAGAGGAAGCCCCGGCUAACUCUGUGCCAGCAGCCGCGGUAAUACAGAGGGGGCAAGCGUUAUUCGGAAUUCGUGGGCGUAAAGGGCGAAUUGAGGUGUGUAAUCCCCGAGCUUAACUUGGGAACUGCAUCUCAGACUGUGUCGCUAGAGUACUGGAGAGGGUGGUAGAAUUCCACGUGUAGCGGUGAAAUGCGUAGAGAUGUGGAGGAAUACCAGUGGCGAAGGCGGCCACCUGGACAGUAACUGACGCUGAGGCGCGAAAGUGUGGGGAGCAAACAGGAUUAGAUACCCCUGUAGUC
Molecule: ribosomal RNA, 450 nt
Filed under: uncultured bacterium
Lineage: Bacteria
Description: partial 16S ribosomal RNA
Rfam family: Bacterial small subunit ribosomal RNA
Source: RNAcentral